RNAcentral lists this ribosomal RNA (896 nucleotides) under Porpomyces mucidus. Its description in RNAcentral is "eukaryotic LSU rRNA". It matches the Rfam family "Eukaryotic large subunit ribosomal RNA", at positions 1 to 914 of the family's 3401-position model. Lineage: Eukaryota; Fungi; Basidiomycota; Agaricomycetes; Trechisporales; Hydnodontaceae. The record is from RNAcentral.
CUGACUCAAAUCAGGUAGGACUACCCGCUGAACUUAAGCAUAUCAAUAAGCGGAGGAAAAGAAACUAACAAGGAUUCCCCUAGUAACUGCGAGUGAAGCGGGAAGAGCUCAAAUUUGUAAUCUGGCGGUUCUGCCGUCCGAGUUGUAAUCUGGAGAAGCGUUUUCCGUGCCGGACCGUGUACAAGUCCCUUGGAACAGGGCGUCAUAGAGGGUGAGAAUCCCGUCUCUGACACGGACUGCCGGUGCUCUGCGAUGCGCUCUCGAAGAGUCGAGUUGUUUGGGAAUGCAGCUCAAAAUGGGUGGUAAAUUCCAUCUAAAGCUAAAUAUUGGCGAGAGACCGAUAGCGAACAAGUACCGUGAGGGAAAGAUGAAAAGCACUUUGGAAAGAGAGUAAAACAGUACGUGAAAUUGUUGAAAGGGAAACGCUUGAAGUCAGUCGCGUCUUCCGGAACUCAGCCUUGCUUCUGCUCGGUGCACUUUCCGGUGUGACGGGCCAGCAUCGGCUUCGCGGGGCGGACAAAGGGGAGGGGAAGGUGGCAGCUCCGGCUGUGUUAUAGCCCCUCUCUGCACGCGUCCCGCGGGGCCGAGGAAUCCGGCGCUUGCGCCUGGGAUGCUGGCGUAAUGGCUUUAAGCGACCCGUCUUGAAACACGGACCAAGGAGUGCUACAUGCUCGCGAGUGUUUGGGUGAAAAACCCGGGCGCGUAAUGAAAGUGAAAGUCGAUACCCUUUGCUGGGGCACCGACGCCCGAGCCCGAUGUUUUCGGAGGGCCUUGCGGUAGAGCGAGUAUGUUGCGACCCGAAAGAUGGUGAACUAUUCCUGAGGAGGGCGAAGCAGAAGGAAACUCUGGUGGAGGCUCGUAGCGGUUCUGACGUGCAAAUCGAUCGCAGGACUUGG